This 401-nucleotide unclassified non-coding RNA is filed under the name soil metagenome. Its description in RNAcentral is "partial contains 5.8S ribosomal RNA, internal transcribed spacer 2, and large subunit ribosomal RNA". The stretch from base 1 to 121 matches the Rfam family "5.8S ribosomal RNA", at positions 35 to 154 of the family's 154-position model. The record is from RNAcentral.
GAUGAAGAACGUAGCGAAAUGCGAUAAGUAAUGUGAAUUGCAGAAUUCAGUGAAUCAUCGAAUCUUUGAACGCACCUUGCGCCCUUUGGCCAUUCCGAAGGGCAUGCCUGUUUGAGUAUCAUGAACACCUCAACUCUCAUGGCUCGCCAUGAUGAGCUUGGAUUUGGGGGUCUUGCUGGCCUGUGGUCGACUCCUCUCAAAUGGAUCAGCUUGCCAGUGUUUGGUGGCAUCACAGGUGUGAUAACUAUCUGCGCUUGUGGUUUUCCAUCAGAUAACCUUCAGUGAUGGAGGUUCGCUGGAGCUCAUAAACGUCUCCCCUAAGCGGGGACAGCCCUUUGAAUGUUUGAUCUCAAAUCAGGUAGGACUACCCGCUGAACUUAAGCAUAUCAAUAAGCGGAGGA